This is a long non-coding RNA of Peromyscus eremicus (cactus mouse), 921 nucleotides long. RefSeq lists it as uncharacterized. The transcript is spliced from 3 exons. Lineage: Eukaryota; Metazoa; Chordata; Mammalia; Rodentia; Cricetidae. The record is from RefSeq and is a predicted model, not a curated record.
UGGUGGAUUUCAGGUCCAAAGAUUGGGCUUUUACUCUGUAGUGUGGGGGUUGGAUCCAGCAGUUAGGACAGUUACUGUGGGUGGAACCUGGCAGUUAGAGGUCCUCAGGGGAAGGGCCUGGCCACUUACAUAGCUUGAGUGGCUUAACGCUCAGUAACUGCUGUUGACUCCAGGUUUACAGUAAAUAUUCUGGUUUGAAGACGCUCUACUGUAGCCAGGACGGCAACUAUAUUUCAGGGAAGUUGAGCUUUCGAAGUCUGUCUGGUUCAUCUCACUUACUGGCAUGGCAUCAGGUUUUUCAUGACAAUGAGAAACAUCUGCUCCUGGCAGCACCAAUUUAUUUCAGAGAUGAUGGGCAUUGAAGAAACUCCAUAUGGAGUUUGCUUUUAUUGUGGCAAUGUUAGCCCCUGGGCAAAGAAACUGUUCUUGCCUUUGACUGCUGGCAAUGUGCUAUGCAUACUGAACGUGAAGGACACACAGGAAAACGACUGUUGAACUUUGCCCAAACAAGGCAGGACAGUCCUUCAAAAUUCCUGCUUCACAGAAGAGUCUGCCAGAUAUUCUGCAGGACACAGAGGAAAGCAACUGACAAACUUUGUCAGUACAAGGCAGAACUGUCCUUCAAAUUUCCUGCUUCACUGAAAAGUUUGCCAGAUAUUCUGGGCCUGUAGGCUGAAGAUGGAUGCCCCAACAUUGCAGAGGAACACUGGGUGACUGUCCAGGCAGCCAAAUGUCUCUGUUGUUAGAUAAUAUUACAUCUUUCUGGGUCUUGGAUGGAGUUGAAGACUAGAUAGUUAUAGUUGCGGUUUUUCUUAGUUAUGAUAGAAAGUAAGUUAGGUGUAAAACUUUGGAUUCACUAAGAUAGGAUAGAUAAUGCAUUAUUUUCUCUGAAUAUGGACAGAAUAUUGUAAAUGUAAUUCU